This is a long non-coding RNA of Anolis carolinensis (green anole), 11490 nucleotides long. RefSeq lists it as uncharacterized. The record is from RefSeq and is a predicted model, not a curated record. Lineage: Eukaryota; Metazoa; Chordata; Lepidosauria; Squamata; Anolidae. The transcript has 5 exons.
AAAUAAAAUAUUACUAUAAUGAUAAAUAAAUUUCUUGUAUUUUUUCUCAGUUUGUAAUGAUUUGGCAAGAAGUCAUAUACAAACAUGGCUCCUUUCACAAAAUUCUCCAGAAUUGCAGAUUUUAUGUGUCAAGUAAAAUUAUAUUUUACCUUUCAUACUAGAGCUGUAAAUUUAAUACAGUCAUACACAACAUGAUAUGGUUAAUAGUCCAAAUAUAAAUAAAUUGAAUUACAUGUCUGCAUAUAAAAUUGUACUUGGCCUUGAUACAGAUAAACACAAACAGUGCAGCCCAUGUUUAAAAGCUAAAAUCGAUCUAAUCAGCUAGUUGGGACUGAAUCCAAACCUUCAUUUUGGGCUCCCAAAUUGCUUAUCAGCAAGAUUUUAGGUUUUUUACUAUUUCACAAUUGGCGAAUUUGUGAUAGUAACUCUAUGUGCAGCACCUAGUUGGGUAUAUAUUUCCCUAUCUGAUCUGCACAGUUAGCUCUUCUUUUGUGCACCUAACUAUAUUUCUAAUUUGAACGGGGCAAAAAUAUAUUCUCUAAGGCAUUUUAAUACAACAUGGGAGACUAUCUAUAAAAGGAAAGUAAGGUUUUUUUGAAUUCUCACCAGAAAUUGAGGGAAUGUAAAGUUAACGGAUUGUGUAUGGAGAUGAUAAACACAUAAGUAUUUGCUAAGCACUUUUUAUUGUAAGUAAAGUAAUAUUUCAUAUUAAAUAGAAAUAUAAAAUGACUAUCAUUUCAACCUGCAACAAUAUUGUCUCAUAAAAACAAAGCAAUAUUACUGCGUGUAUGUUGUUUAGAAUUUUCCUGUUAAUAAGGAGUUUAUUUUUGCUAAGGAAUAUGCACACAAAUACAAAAAACUCACCCCAUGAAUACAGAGCAUCGUCCCAGUAAUUAUCAAUAGUAGUAUAUUGAUAAAAAUCCUCACAAUUAGUUUUAAAUCAAUUAAUGGUAUGUUAUUUCAUAUCUUCUAUACUUUAAAAAAAAGCAUACAUGUUUUCAACAAUGAUAAAAUUUGCAUUAUCAUCCAUACUGUUUUACAUAGCAUUUCUGUUGAAAAAAUAUAGUACUAUUUUAAAAUUAGACUCUGAAACAGAAUAAUUUUGAUAGCCUUUUUGUUUAUGUUGUAGGAUCUUUUCCAUUUUGGCUGAACAUUGAUGCACAACUAGUGUUUUGUAUUAACGUGUUGGAAGGAUUUUGUAAUACAUAUAGACGUGCAACUGUGUGAUACCAGAGGUUUGUAGGUAGGAGUUACAGGGAAUAUUGUGAUAGGUUGUUUGUUGCUUUUUGUCUGGAAAGACAGUGCGAAGAAGAUUAUGAGGAGGUUGUGUGAUCAUAAAGAAAUGUGUCCCUAUGAAUAGAGUCUGAGGUUGCGAGUCCUUCUUCUAAGAAACAUGUUAUAUUCCCUUAUCACAAUCUGGCAUGGUUACAGGAAACUAUGCCACCUUUUAAAUUAUGUGAUCUGAUAAAAAUGGAAUCAUGAAUUGGUAGGCCAUAAUCUUACUUGGUCAUAUUCUGUGUCAGCUGGGCCAGGGUGCAAUGUGUGGCAUAUAGACUAACACAAUUUUGACAAGUAUUACGAUAAUAUCAUAUAUAGUGCUGAUUCAAGCCAAUUCUUAAUCUUUUGUAGAGGAAAGUGUUGCAUGCUUCUAUAAAAAUACAAUGAAUGUUAUGGCUCCUCCUCCACAGUAAAAUAUCCAUGAUAUUUAAUUCUGUAUUAAUGUUGGUGUAUUUGUAGAUUUUCAAUUAUACUGAAAUGCUUUUAAUGUAAGCUGCUUUGAGUCUCCUUGUGAAGAGAAAAAGUAGGAUAUAAGUAAACAUAACGGCAUCAUCAACAACAACAAUAAUAAUUCAAAUACAAUUUUCAAAAUGACAGGAAGUUAAUUUUUUAGUUCAGUCCAUGGACUGCAGGUUAUAAACUCCUGAAUACAGAAAAUAUGAUAUGCUACAACUAAAUUGAUGGUUAUACAGUGUGUUUAUUUAAUAUUCAUACAUGCAAGCAAACAAAUUAGAGACUCAAAUAACAAAAGAUCCUUAUUGAAAAGCAUAUGAUGCUGUGAACAAGACCUGCUACUGUAAGUACUAAAGCAAUUAUAGAUGUUCAAAGAAUUGUUAAAAAAGAUAAAGCUAGUGCAAGGUUGAAAUUUGAGAAAUUCCUGUGUUAAGCCUUUUAUGAUCCUAUCAGUACCUCAGUUCCAAGCUUUCUUUCAAAAGUCAACUUGUUAGACCAUUCCCAUCUUUUAGGAGAAUUAAAAACUAAUUGAUAUGACUAGAAAUUGUUUUGAGCAUAAAGAAGCAAGACUAGUACAAUAAUUUUGUAGUAUUAUUAGCAUACCUACCUCAACAAAAGCCCUACAUAAACUCAGUUUGAUGUGUGUAUGAGAAAAUAUGCCUGUCAGUUGCUUGGAUAGAGCAUCUGAUUCUUUGUUAAACUGAUUGUACAUUUAGAACUCUUUGGGAAGGCCUGUUCUGUUCAUUGUGGCUUUCUGGAAGUUAAAUUGGCCAAGUGCCAAUUGUGGAAUUCCUUUUCUCAACUUGUUUGGUCCUUGAUUGUCUAUGGAAAGAUAAUAGCCUUUUCAAAAGCUAUUCAGGAUGGUAUCAUAUGCUAUAACUACUAUAUUUCACUGAAGAAAUUUCAGUGGUUUUUGUUAGAUUUUGAUGCUUUGUAAUUGGCAACAGAACUAAAAUCCAGAAGCCUAAAUACAGUUAGUUCUUAAUGUCAACUGACAUUGGCCCACUGGAUCAAUGGGAACUUGGUAAAUUGCUACUCUACAUAUUUAGUGAGUACACACUGAGACCAGCAGUUGGGUUUAGCUUCAAUUUUGGAAUUGGGGGAGAUAAAAACUUUUAACAGUAAUCAUUAUGAAGAAGAUAAUGAUAAUGAUGAUAGCAACAACAACAACAAUAAUCUUUAUUUGUAUCCCACCUUAUCUCCCUGAUGGGGACUCCAGGUGGUUGACAAUAUAUAACGGCAAUAUUCAAUGCUUUAUAAUACAGCUAGCCGUUUAACAAAAUAUAACAUUAAUUAAACAUGACACAGUAAACCUUAACAUAACCAAUAACAAGACAUAAUGAAAAAUCUAUGUGCUGUGUUACUUUGUUUUUUUAAAAAGAGAGUAUAUUCACCCUGGGUGAUUUUUUUCCAUUUGCAAACUCUCCUUGUGAUUUGAGACAAAUCAUGGUACCAUUCAUUUUUAAUCCAUUGCUGUUCCAAAGGAACUUGAGACUGAUCAUGCAGGCCUUUCCUUUGUAGUCAUAAAGGAUUAUAUGCAUGAGAGAGAGCUGCAGAGUGGGCUCCUCUAAUGGCUUAAUUUUUAAAAGAGUGUUAUAUAAAGGAAAUUCUUUGAAGCAUAGCACUAUCAUUAUUUCCUGGUCCAUAGACUGUUUUACUCUGCAGUUUUUGUAGAUUUGUUUCCCACUGGAAACACAGAAAGUGGCCUGAUUCUACGGAACUCUUCCCCUCUUAUUUACAAAUAGGUUGGAGAAGAGGAUAUUUCUAAACUAUGGCAUUCCUGAUGCAAAUAGAAUAUUUAGCCACAAUUGAUGAAAACCAUCCUGAAAUUCCUCCUGAAACCAUGGUUUCUAAUGAUUAAGGGAAGUAAACAUUAGUUAAAUUUUAUAUUUAAGCCCAAACUUCAAGCUGAUAGUAAUGAUUCUAUUUUGGUUUUAAGGAUUUCCUGUUAGUUUAAUCAAAGGUACAUGAUGGUACAGGAAAGAUUUUUACCCACCUAAAAGCAGGGCUACUUUUUGUUGGUGGGCUUGACAGGAUAUGAAAGGGUUCUCCGGAGACGCCCCCAUUGUCAAGGCAACUCAGCUGAUGCUCCCUGUUUUGGUAUGCUGCAGCAGUUUCAUUGCUUGUCUUUAAAACACGACAGGACUAAAAGCUUUGGCCAGUUUACCCCAGUAAUGAAGGGGUGCAUUUCAUGUUCCUAUGUAGAGAGAGCAGGGGACAAAAUAGCCACAGAGCAAUGGAUAAAGGCUGUUGUCACAGCAAUAUGAAAUCAGAUUAACUGCAUAGGCUUGUGAUGUCAUCAUAUUAACGAUCUGAUUCCUAAAUGUCCUGAUGGAGAAGGAGGCCUUAACACAAAAGGGGUGUGACGUCGCUGAAGCAAACUACAAACAGGCAUCAAACUGAAAAUCACCAAUGUGGAUACCAAGUCCUCCACAAUCUCUGAAUUGGCUAAGGCAAGUCUAGAAUUUGGAGAAUUCAUUUUCAUGAACAACAUGGUGACUGAGGGAUUCUGGGACUUGUAAUUCAAAAGAGACCCAGGCGAUCAAAUAUCAAGUGUCCACAGGAAGAUGACAGAAGAUAAUGAAGGGCCAGAACAAGACAUCCUGUGAGGAGAGGCUUGAAUAACUGAAAGAAGAGGCGAUUAAGAGGCUAUUCGAUCAGCUGGGAAUCAACACAUUUGCUGAUGAAGAGACUGAUUCCAACAGUUAUAUUAUCACAUGUGAGAUAACUUGAUUUCCAGGAGGUCUUCCUUGCCAUAAGAAAUCUAUAUUAACAAAGAACGUGAAUUCUGCAAACAUUGCCAGGAUGAGGAAUUCAUGGAUCAUUUCCAGGCAUGAUUCACCAAAUCAGGUUGCUAAAAUUGCAAGUCAUUAAAGUGAUUAUUGCUUUGGCUGUGGAGAAAAACAGGACCUUGUGACACGUUUUGUUUACUUACUAGUGUGUUGUCACACUAGUAAGCUAUAGGUCUGUCCAUUGAUCAUUCUCAGAACACAUAGUUUAUACAUACCUUAAACUCCCUGAUUUUUCUAAAAUGGAUUUUGUUUAGUGGAGCUGAGAAAUCCUUGUGACUGACAAUUUACAGAACAGAAUCCAUUGCAAGAUUCUGAGUAUCAUAUAAAAUAUUGCUUGCAUGCUUCAAAACACAUGUAUAACAUGUGAAUCAUAAUAAAUAUAUCUAUUCACUGCAAUUAUUUUAUUAGACCAACCAAAAGCAAAAGUGCAGCUAUUUGAAAUGACAGCCAUCUUAAGGUUUUAAAAAAAUGCUGUAUCUGGAUUCCAUAAAGACUGCAUAGGAUAGCACUGGCAUUGCUUGGCUGAGCAGCUCUGCACUUUCAAAAUACAAAGCCAUUAAUCCCUUUCUCUGGAGUGUCUUGUCUUGUCUUGUCUCGUCUUGUUUUGCAGGUUCCUGAGAUGCAACUCUGGGAAUUGCUGAAUCUCAUCAGCAUCAGAAUCAGACUGUCCUUUGGGGUGAGGUAGUAGGUUGUAUAGUUUUAGGGUUCUGCCCUGCCUGUCACAUAACUAUACAAUCUACUGUCUUUCCUGAAGUGGCUGUGAGAGCAACGCAGGACAAAUCUCGCCAUAACCGAAAUAAAACCUACUGACUAUUAUUGAGAAGUAUUGCAUAUGUGUACAUUAAGACAGAAGACAAUUUUCCUGACCUUUUCAAGCUGAAUAAUAAUAAUUUAAUGAUAAUUUUCAAGCUGAAACAUGCCCAUUUUCCUACAAGGAAGCCUCAUAGAUGGUCAUCGAAUUUACUUUUAUGUAGACAUGACUAUGCUAUCAGUCAUAUUGCCCUCCUUGAGAAAAGGCCAUUCAAGGAUGUAGAAAUGCAGAAGAAUUAUGUCCCCUUGCUUUAUGGUACAUAGUAGGUAUAGCUGAUAAUGUACAGGUGCACAAAUUUGAGCUAACUACAACGGGGUUUUUUUUUUUUCUAAUAAGCACUUUUGUUUGUAUAGUUAUUUCACAGGAUGUUGAGAAAGUUCCCAUGUUCUCCCAAGCAGGAGGACUGCCUGGCCUUUAGAAGUCUACAUUAAGGGGCAAAUGUGGCUCUGCUUAGAAGCUGCCCUGAUCAGCAAUUGAUGUACAAAAGACAGUCAGUGUAGCAGAGGUUGCAGUUCUGUAGCAGCACAAGAUAAGGAAGACCUCACUGUGAAAAAGGAGAGGCUGAGUGUUAAUAAAGAUGGGUGCCAAAGAGAACUAGGAGGACUUUUGUAUGGUUUUCAGGUAAUCACACCAGAGAAGUAGAAAGCCUAGCUUAGCUCCUAUGAUGCCAAUGAAACACAGCACAGAUACAGCCUAGUGACAGCACCUACCCCUAUCUGGUAUUGCUGGGCACUUCUCAAACGGUAGACCCCAUGUCAUUCAGUGGAAGUGGCAGAUUGCAUCUUCUGCAUAUUCCUUGUGUAGUGUCAUAUGCAAGACCUCUGAGUUAUGGAUGCAAAAUCAAAUAAAGAGUUGUGUUUAGCUCUGGCAAGGUGAGGUAGUAGGUUGUGUGGUUUCAGGGUAGUCAUUUUGCCCCAAUCAGGAGAUAACUAUACAACCUACUGCCUUCCUUGAGGAGCAGCUUUGCAGCGUGCCCAGAAUUUUGUAAUAAGGUGGUAUGCAUAUAGUGCAAAUCUACAUUGAUUUCAUACCAUUUUAGUGUCUUUUGCUUCUUCCAAAAGAACACUGGGAAUUGUAGGACAGUGACACAUUGUUAGAUAUUGCUUAAACUAUUUUGAGCAACCAUUGCCUGUACCCAGUAGCACUACAGUUUCCUGGGAAGAAAUCACAACUUUUAAACUUUAAAAUAAAUAGGAAUUUAAGAUUUUCAUUUUCAAGAGAGUACACUUGUAUGUGCAUAUUUUCUGCAACAAUUUUCUCUAUAUAUUUCCAAAUAGCAUGGCUUAAACUAAUACUUAUUUUAUUUCUUUAUUUUACCUGUUUUAAAUUAUUUUUAUUUUCAAUUUACAUAUUACAUAUUUUUGAACAAUGAAACAAAUUUAUAUACAUGUAUAUAUACAUUACAAUAUUACCUAACAGCUACACAAUAUUCAUAUUUGAUUAUACUUUCCCCUCCCACCUCUCCCAUUUUGGUGACUAAAACAUAUUUUACAAGACCUUAUAUCAAAAAUACAAUAAAGUGUGUUUUCUGUGGAAAAUUGUCUCAUAAUUUGAAUAUAGUAGUGAAAUUAUUAUGAGAAUAAACAGCAUGGCUUCAUUUUUACAUUAUCUCUGCAUAAAUUACAACACAAUUGGUAAUUAAUAUAAUCUUUAUGGUAUAUAAAUAUUAUUAAUCAAUAGAAGGCUUGUGCUGUAAAAUGUGUUUGGUGUUGGUUUUUUCCUCCAUCACAUAAGUGAGAAAUUUUCCUCUUUGCAUCACUGCCACAAAAGAUCAAAUUUAGCACAAGGUGCAAAAAAAGAAAAAAAUAUCAAGAAACAAAGGAACUGAUGAUAAUAAAUAAUAAUAAAGCUUUAUUUAUAUACCGCUCCAUUUCCUCGAGAGGACUCAGGGCGGUUUCCAACAUGUGUACCAACAACAUUCAGUUGUCAAAAACAUACAACAACUUAAACAUAGUAAACAAACUGGGAGGGAUAGCUAACACUCCAGAAGACAGGAGCAGAAUUCAAAAUGAUCUUGACAGACUAGAGAGAUGGGCCGAAACUAACAAAAUGAAGUUCAACAGGGACAAAUGCAAGAUACUUCACUUCGGCAGAAAAAAUGGAAAUCAAAGAUACAGAAUGGGGGACACCUGGCUUGACAGCAGUGUGUGCUAAAAAGACCUUGGAGUCCUCAUGGACAACAAGUUAAACAUGAGCCAACAAUGUGAUGCGGCAGCUAAAAAAGCCAAUGGGAUUCUGGCCUGCAUAAAUAGGGGAAUAGCGUCUAGAUCCAGGGAAGUCAUUCUACCCCUCUAUUCUGCCUUGGUCAGACCACACCUGGAAUACUGUAUCCAAUUUUGGGCACCGCAGUUGAAGGGAGAUGUUGACAAGCUGGAAAGCGUCCAGAGGAGGGCGACUAAAAUGAUUAAGGGUCUGGAGAACAAGCCCUAUGAGGAGCGGCUUAAAGAGCUGGGCAUGUUUAGCCUGCAGAAGAGAAGGCUGAGAGGAGACAUGAUAGCCAUGUACAAAUACGUGAAGGGAAGUCAUAGGGAGGAGGGAGCAAGUUUAUUUUCUGCUGCCCUGCAGACUAGGACACGGAACAAUGACUUCAAACUACAGGAAAGGAGAUUCCACCUGAACAUCAGGAAGAACUUCCUCACUGUGAGAGCUGUUCGACAGUGGAACUCUCUGCCCCGGACUGUGGUGGAGGCUCCUUCUUUGGAGGCUUUUAAGCAAAGGCUGGAUGGCCAUCUGUUGGGGGUGCUUUGAAUGCGAUUUCCUGCUUCUUAGCGGGGGGGGGGGGGGGGGGGUUGGACUAGAUGGCCUAUGAGGUCUCUUCCAACUCUACUAUUCUAUGAUUCUAUGAGUCUAUGAACAUUGAUGCAUUUAAAAAUCUUGCCACUAUUCUUACUGUUCAUUAUACGUAGAUUAUUAAAUAUGGUUUUCUCUGGGGGAGCAGAUGGUGACUACUGGAUGGCAUAUGUUCUGUAUCAGAAACUAGAGCCGAUGUGGUUUAUCCAAUGCAAUUUUCUGAAUCAGCACCCCAAAUAACCAAAUCAAAUGUAAAAUUGACCAAAAACUUAUUCAUAACCCUUUUGGUACUAAUGUUGGAGUGUGGUCCCUGGUCAAAGUGACCCCUGGUCCAGGUGGUCCCUGGUCAAAAAAAGAUUGGGAACCAUUGAUCUAGUAGAACUCGCUCCUUAUUUCCAGGACCCAGUGGGUACAUUAGAUGGAUGCAAUUCAUGAUCAGGCCAGGCAAAUGCUAAUGGGCCAACAGAGAGGGUGCAAUAAUUAACAAAUCUGAAAUACAUUCAGCUUAAUGGGUUUCACACUACACAGCCUUGAAUGCUGGGAAAUGGAAGUGCCUGCUGGUCCUACCAUCCUGUCAGUCUUUACCAUAUCAUUUCACACUUCAGCCCCCUGCCAGGCAAGCUAAACAUUCUAACAAGCAAGUGCCCAAUGAACAACCCUCACUUCAAUUCCAUUUAUCCCAGUCAUCCAGGAGCCUUUAGUAAAACCAAUGUAGUUUCCCUCUGUACUUCUAAUUCCACAGCAUUCAGCUGAAAUUAUCACAGCUGGAAUUUAAAUUCCUAGAAGCAUUCAAAUAGCAGCAAGUAAAACCAGCAGCAACUGAAAGAAGAAACACAUUAAGGACAUGGCACAUCAGCAGGAGAAUACGUAGCAUUUCAAAGUAUUCCUUUACAGCAGAAAUCUCUUAUUUGCAUUAUGGUGCAUUAUUAAUUGUAAUUGAAAUUAUUAAUCUAUGAGAAAAGCACCUGUAAAAGCUUUUUCACUUUUGCUGACCGAAAGGUCGGUGGUUCGAGUUUGGGGAGCAGGGUGAGCUCCUUCUGUUAGCCCCAGCUAACAGACCUAGUCGUUCGAAAACAUGCAAAUGUGAGUAGAUCAAUAAGUAGCACUCCAGUGGGAAGGUAACAGUGUUCCAUGCAGUCAUGCCUGUCACAUGAUCUUGGAGGUGUCUACAGAUAACGCUGGCUCUUCAGCUUAAAAAUGGAGAUGAGCACCAACCCCCAGAGUUGGACACGACUAGAGUUAAUGUCAGGGGAAAACCUUUAACUCAUAUACCGGAUCAGCAUCGAUAGUAGCUACACUAGCAGCCCCGAGCUGGCAUGGAAAGCUACACCAUCUGCCCACGAAGUGGCCCACUGGCUCUGGAAGCUGUAUGGGCGAGUGACACUGAAGUGGAGACCAGAGAUGAGAGAGGAAGAAUUGCUUCCCCCUCUAAUUUUGGCGGACUAAAUGUAAUCAUUCCAGGCACUGAGGAGACUUCAGUGCAAUUUUGGUGCUUAGGAAGCACUGCUAAAAUAACGAGGGAGACAAGGCUGGUGCCAUCUCCUUCCCCAAGGUUGCUGUAUAACCAACUAUGCCACUUCCUGGGCCCAAAAUCGCUAGAUAAUAUGGAAUUUGGGAACCUGGGUAAAGGUCUCAUAUAAUUGAUUUGGUGCUCCUGUGCAAUAAAUGACAUGCAAGGUAGAAAUGAGGUAUAUUAAUCAAAGUGGCACUGUUCUGGACUCUACUGACUCAAAUACAGGUUGAGCAUCCUUUACCUGAAGUUUCGAAGUCCAAAGCAUUCCAAAUCCUCAAAUUGUUCACAUGGGUGGCUGAAUUAGUGACACUUUUGCUUUGUUUCAUGCACAAAAUUAUUUAAAAUGUGUAUACAAUUAUCUUUGGGCUAUGUGUAUAUGGUGUAUAUGAAAUUGCAAUGAAUUCUAAAAUAAUACUAAUAAUCCCAAACACUUCUGGUCCAAAGCAUUUUGGAUAAGACAUCCUCAACCUGGAGUAGGGGACAGGUCUAUUUCUGGAUGAUUUCUCUUAACCUGUGGUCAUUUUUAUCAGUGCUACCUCUGCAAAAGGUAUCUCCUUUUCUUGUAGCUAACUUUGUUUCUCUUCUGUUGUUAUUUCUCACUGCUUCAUGCAGUUUCACCUCCCAUUGUACAGGUCUUGUUUUUAUUAUCUAUCAUCAUCAUCAUUAUUAUCAAGUACAAGAGGUUUUGGACCUCAAUAUGGAGAUUGGAGUUUUUGGAAAAGGCAUUUGACUGUGUAAUUUUUUUUUGCAAUAUUAAUUACAGAUAGUUCUAGUUUGAGUAGUUUAUGACUUUUGUCAAACACAAUGGCUGUAAUACUAUAUGGUCUUUACACAUACAGUGAAUUCUAGCUCACCACCGCGACAUCUUCAUUUACCAGGUGGCAGCCACUGCAAUUGAUGGGCAUCUUCCCCUGUUUGUCAGAAAGAAGCAUCCCCCCCUAUUCAUCAGUGAUCCCAUUACAACAGACAUAAACAGGGACCCUGUUGCCAUUUCCCCUUGCAUCAGAGAUCACUUGUGUGAGUGGGGUGGGAAUGGCAGUCAGCUCCUUCCUGAGUCAUUACCCUGUCAAUCCAUAGCAGCUGCUUCUCAGUAAGUGUUGAUUAGUGAAUACGUAAGUGACAAGUGCGCAACUCCAGGUUAUGCAUCUGUAAUGGCCAUGCAUAAUUCCAAUCCAGCUUUCUGUAUUCAGAUUUGUUCUCUAUAUUGUCACUGUCCACUUUUAAUCAUAUAACAGUCAUGACCAGUGUGCCAAACAAUGUAUAUUUCUUAGCAAAGCCAUUUAAACUUACAUUUUGCAAUCAGCCAUUUGUUGUGACUCGGCCUCAGAGUGACUCUGAUGAGGAUUUUGGGAUAUAGGUUCAAGGUGAAGGCUUUCCUACAGGAGGAUGCUGAUAUUUCACAUGUGCAAGAAGCAGGAAGAGAGAGCAGCUCCCAGCCUGAUAACACUAAUGAGCAGUUUGGCCUUGACGACGAUACAGCAUCUCUGAACCGGGCCAGCCACUUGAAAAAUAGGGAGGUUCCAGAAGUCUUAGAAUAGCAAAUAAGAGAGAGGUCAAAGGGCAAAGGAAUGCCUUCAUGUUAUGCUAUUAAAACAGUCUACUGAGAGAGGAAUCUUUGUCAAAGCAGUCUCUUUGAAUCAGGAAGCAAGUUCUGCUUUCCUGGGUUGUCUUGUAGCCUUGAUGUAUUCUCACUCAUGGGACUUUGUCAUGUACUGAAAGGAUUUUGCUUCAUGCCAAGUGUUUCUUUGGAUUAUUUCUUACAGCCUUGUUUUGCAACUAUCUUUUAGAACUGAACUUUUGCCUUUUAAGAACUAUCCUUUUCCUUAUUUCCAAUAAACUACAAAAGACUAUAA